UAACUGGAGGGAAGGUGGGGAUGACGUCAAAUCAUCAUGCCCCUUAUGACCUGGGCUACACACGUGCUACAAUGGACGGUACAACGAGUCGCGAAGUCGUGAGGCUAAGCUAAUCUCUUAAAGCCGUUCUCAGUUCGGAUUGUAGGCUGCAACUCGCCUACAUGAAGUUGGAAUCGCUAGUAAUCGCGGAUCAGCAUGCCGCGGUGAAUACGUUCCCGGGCCUUGUACACACCGCCCGUCACACCAUGAGAGUUUGUAACACCCAAAGCCGGUGAGAUAACCUUCGGGAGUCAGCCGUCUAAGGUGGGACAGAUGACUAGGGUGAAGUACGAAGUAGAGCGGUGCGUAA
This 349-nucleotide ribosomal RNA is filed under the name Levilactobacillus brevis. Its description in RNAcentral is "bacterial SSU rRNA". It matches the Rfam family "Bacterial small subunit ribosomal RNA", at positions 1159 to 1505 of the family's 1533-position model. The record is from RNAcentral. Lineage: Bacteria; Bacillati; Bacillota; Bacilli; Lactobacillales; Lactobacillaceae.